AGAAUCAACGCUGGCGGCGUGCCUAACACAUGCAAGUCGCACGAGAAAGGGUAGCAAUACCUGAGUAAAGUGGCGCACGGGUGAGUAACACGUGAAUGAUCUACCUCCGAGUGGGGAAUAACUGAGAGAAAUCUUAGCUAAUACCGCAUAACACUUACGAGUCAAAGCAGCAAUGCGCUUGGAGAGGAGUUCGCGGCCGAUUAGUUAGUUGGCGGGGUAAUGGCCCACCAAGACGAUGAUCGGUAUCCGGCCUGAGAGGGCGCACGGACACACUGGAACUGAAACACGGUCCAGACUCCUACGGGAGGCAGCAGUGGGGAAUUUUGCGCAAUGGGGGAAACCCUGACGCAGCAACGCCGCGUGGAGGAUGAAAUAUCUUGGUAUGUAAACUCCUUUCGAUGGGGAAGAUUAUGACGGUACCCAUAGAAGAAGCCCGGCUAACUUCGUGCCAGCAGCCGC
RNAcentral lists this ribosomal RNA (459 nucleotides) under uncultured bacterium. RNAcentral describes it as "SSU rRNA". It matches the Rfam family "Bacterial small subunit ribosomal RNA", at positions 26 to 518 of the family's 1533-position model. The record is from RNAcentral.